RNAcentral lists this small RNA (73 nucleotides) under Xanthomonas vasicola. Its description in RNAcentral is "sX9". RNAcentral also lists the same sequence under 3 other names. Lineage: Bacteria; Pseudomonadati; Pseudomonadota; Gammaproteobacteria; Lysobacterales; Lysobacteraceae. The record is from RNAcentral.
AUGUAUCACUCAUGCACCCCUGAUUCUUGUGUCGUUCACGCCCCCCACGGCGGCUCGCUCCGUGUUGUUAGUC